UGCCGCGUGAAGGAUGAAGGCCUAUGGGUUGUAAACUUCUUUUCUCAGAGAAGAAUUUUGACGGUAUCUGAGGAAUAAGCAUCGGCUAACUCUGUGCCAGCAGCCGCGGUAAGACAGAGGAUGCAAGCGUUAUCCGGAAUGAUUGGGCGUAAAGCGUCUGUAGGUGGCUUAAAAAGUCUCCUGUCAAAGAUCAGGGCUUAACCCUGGGCCGGCAGGAGAAACUCUUAGGCUAGAGUUUGGUAGGGGCAGAGGGAAUUCCCGGUGGAGCGGUGAAAUGCGUAGAGAUCGGGAGGAACACCAAAGGCGAAAGCACUCUGCUGGGCCACAACUGACACUGAGAGACGAAAGCGAGGGGAGCAAAAGGGAUUAGAUACCCCUGUAGUCCUCGCCGUAAACGAUGGAUACUAGAUGUUGGAUAGGUUAAAUCAUUCAGUAUCGUAGCUAACGCGUGAAGUAUCCCGCCUGGGGAGUAUGCUCGCAAGAGUGAAACUCAAAGGAAUUGACGG
This 506-nucleotide ribosomal RNA is filed under the name bacterium enrichment culture clone KR 1979/21_DG7bf. RNAcentral describes it as "bacterial SSU rRNA". It matches the Rfam family "Bacterial small subunit ribosomal RNA", at positions 395 to 916 of the family's 1533-position model. The record is from RNAcentral.